GAGACUGCGCUGCUCCAGCCCGGGAAAAGUUCUAGAAUAGAGGCGCGGCGCAAGUCAGGGGGCCGCCUUGGAAACCGCAGCAAGGGCUCCUUGUGGGCUCCAGGCUGUUGGAGAGUGAGGGAGCCUCCUCCCCUUUCCUUCCCGUGGAGUAAACAGAGCUUGGCAGGGCUGGAGGCUUUCUUCCUUUUAAAAAGUGCCAUUCUGAACAACGAUACAAAGUGAAAAAAUAAAUUUUUUAAAAAAGAAAGGGAAAAACUACAAUUUGACCAUUCUGACCAGCCUCCUUGUUCCAACUGGCCUCUUGAUUUGUAUAAAGAUAAUGGGGUCCGGCGGCCCCCUUGAUGCAUGAAUUGCACGCUGGGCAUAAUGAACUUAUUGUGCGAAAGCACUUUGGACUUCGGACUGUGUUCCUAUGUCAGAAUUUUACUGUGGUUUGUAAGAUAAACUGGAAGGAAACAAACUCGUGGUUAACUCUUGUCAAUACGUGUCUUGAACCAAGCAAAGUGACAUUUCCUACCUGUGGCUUUGACUUUAAGCUGCACAAAAGCUCACACAUACAGUCGGCUCAGGCAGACGGCCCAAGACAAGCCUGUGCCAAAGAAAUGCUGAUUUAGUCUGACCCAGACAAUCUCUACUCCCACAUGUCACUUCUCUGCAGAACUCUUACUAGUAUGGCAAAUACUUUAAAAAUCAUACAAUAAAAGAAGGCAAAACCUCAGUAAUUUGAGGUUCACUUUUAAUAAACUCUUUCCAUGCAUUAAAAUAAAUUGAGGCCCUGAGCUCUGGCGAAAUGUUUCCGGGUUUUUAAUUCCCACCGCCCCCCCACCCCGGAGGCAUAAAUAGCCACAUACGCAAUUCAAAGUACUCUAUUUGAACUAGUAUAGGAAAGAUGUUUUCUAUAGAUAUUGCAGAUAAAUUUGCAAUGACUUAAAUAUUUAUCUGCUAAAGUUGCUGAGUGCCUCCACAACAAAACCGAACUCAUUUUUUGUGCACGAUGGGCAUCUGAAUGCUACCUGAUGGUGAUGAUAUAGAAAUACUAAUUGCUAAGUAAAAGUGGUAAGUGAUGUGAUCUACAGAUUAUGUAAUGUAGUUCAUUUCCCCCAAAAUGUAAACUAUAUUUAGAAAUAUUCAAAUGUGACAUUAUUACCCUAUACAGGAUGUCUUAUCUCAGCAUCAAGGGCGUCUGUAGAGCUGCUGGAGGAGGCUCUUUAGAUUACGCAAUCUAACUUCUGACAGCCCAUUCAAAGGAUGAGAACCGGUGCCUUGAAGCUCUCAAUUUAAACUAGGAAUCCUGUAGUCUAGUCUCUAGACUUAUCUGACCUAGGCAGAAAUCAUCUCCUAGAGGCUUUUCAUGGCUGAUUUUGUGAUGUUUUACUUGCACUGAAGAUUUAUUAUUCCAUGUUUUGAGUUAGUGUUAUACAGUGCCAUUCUAUAUAUUUUCCAAAUAAAUGUUUGUCUUACAGAAGAAACUGUUUAUACCAUUCUAAUAGGGUUGUUUAAUAAGGAAAUUUUACUCAGUUGGGUUUUGGAUUAAAAAUAAAAGAACAGCUUUUAAGAUACAAUGUCUAAAUGAUUCUCAAUAAUGAUCUGUCUAUGGUAUAGUUACUUUUUGUCCUAAAAUACCUUUUCUGUGGGUUGUAUGGAUUGUUUUAUGUUGUGCCAGGCAGAUGUGCAUAAUUUUCUGAUUAAAACCAGUGCAAAUACAGACUUCAUAUUCUAUAAUCUUUUAAAGAGACAAGUUACACUUCAAAUCAAACAAUCAGAGAGCUGUUUCAAAUCAAGCAUUUUAAGUUAAGUUGUAUUGACAUGGGGAGGGAGCAGAUGACACACCUAAUGAGUUAAAACAAUGUUCACUGUUAAAUUAGGUAUAAAUUAAUGUAAUAACUAGGGGUAGUGUGGGUAUCCCUGACAAAUUAUGGAUUUAUCUGAGGAUUAAUGGAGGAAUCCACAGAUAAUCCAUAAAUCUACCCAUUUUCUAUCUUCUAACCGCUUAGCGAGUAAUUUAUAAAUUGUCUAUUUGUGUGCUUUUUAAGUUACAGUGAGGGGUUCAGACAUAUUAAGGAAAAUGCAGGCUGUCAAGAGAAACAGCAACAAGGGAUCUAUAGAGUUUGUAAUCUGGAAAGUCACACCCGUAAUUUUUAUUUGAUUGUAGUACCAUUGCUGUCAGAGGCCUAACCAGUGGCACUGAAGGAGUUAAAACAGUCCCCACCCCCACUCCCGAUUUCUAGAACCCCACGAUAAAUUGGGUAAAUAUGUAUUCCAUUCAUUGGUGCAUCUGACCUUGGUCUGUGACAGAGGAAAGGCGUGUCUUCUCAUACUGUUCCCUAUGAACAAAAGGCAAGCAAAUGAGGGUGACUCAGGACUUCUCAUGGCCUACACACAACUGAACAUUUUUCUGAAUGAUUCCACGUAUACACUUAGGAAUCAGGAAGAGAAACAUUUUACUCUUCACUAACCAAAUAAAACCAUCUAUAAAUCAUAUGCAAAACAACUUUUGAGUAAAGAGGGACUUAAAAGUCUAGGAAUUAAAAAAGGAUUUCCAUAGUUUCCUUUUAACUCUCCCCCAACUCCCCUUUGGGGAAUAAACAAAGACAUCUGCCACAUCAAGAGUCUGGUUUGUUUUCUUAACUGAAAACGAAAUGCAGUCAUUAAAGUAUAUCUUUGGGAAGAGGUUUUGAAAUGUUGAGAAUUACUUCUACAAGCUGCACUAUUUUCAAUUUCACUAAAAAUAAAAUUUAGCAUUUUUGUUACAAAAACAUAGUUCAUCCUAUUUCUUUUAACCUAGUUAUUACAUGAAAAAUUGUUUAUCAUCUGUAACUUGCUAAGAAUAUGGUUUCUUGAAAACCUUAAAUGGACUAAUAAUGAAAAACUAUUAAAAUAUAUAUAGUGAUGGGCCCCUCCUAGUUACCAGACCACCCUAGUGUAAAUAUAUUCAAGUACACAUUCACUGUUGCUGUUUAAUUUAAAACAUAUAGUAACUCUAUGUAUAUCCUAGCCUCCAACUCUUUAUGAGUUUCACAACUUCCUUUCAUAGAGAAGUCUGCCAAGCCAUUAAUCAAUAAAAAGAGUAAAAGCUGCAACAUCUAGGAAAUUUCUUAUUAUAUGAGAGUAGCCAGUAAAAUGUGUCUCAGUGCUUUCUACCUUUUAUCUCUAUUUAUAAAUUUAAGUUUCAGGAUAUCAAUAAAGCUCAUACAUGGCUUUGGCUUUUUUCAUUCCUAAGCUUUCCAAAGUAUAAGGCUUUUUUUUUUUUUAAAUCCCUUUUGUCUUUAGCGCAUUUCCUAUGGCCCAACGUAGCUGUUUUAUUCCAAAGCUUUUCAAAGAGCAGCUCCAGGUCUUGAGAGUCUUUCCAGUGUCGUCACUAUCUUCUCUUUCCAAUCUACCAUUGCAGAAUGGCUGGUUCUGCUGCUAGUUGAAAAAUAAACAAAUGCUUUCUAGCCGUACUUUGUUCAGCUCUUUUAUCUGUGUCCCCUAUCCAGUUGCCCUUUCCGCAGUCCCUGGCACUUCUAUUUUAUACCAUCAGUUGCCUUUUUGUUCCAUGUCUUUUAUCUCCUGAAGUUCAGGCAAACCCCAACCCCAAACCCACACAUCCUUUAGUCACAUUGCCAUUAGUGAUUAAAACAAUAGCCAUUCUAAGCUUGCUUUAGAAAAUUAAAAAAGGCCUCAGAAAAUGUUCAGUGCUCCCAAUUUUAUUUUUAUUUAAUGCUAAAAGUUAAAGAAAA
RNAcentral lists this long non-coding RNA (3719 nucleotides) under Homo sapiens (human). RNAcentral's name for it is "HSALNT0299126". The record is from RNAcentral. Lineage: Eukaryota; Metazoa; Chordata; Mammalia; Primates; Hominidae.